GUGGAGGGGCUUAAGUGCAAAAUGACACUUAUGAGAGUGUAUAGAGAGGAUCCUUUCUCUCUUUCUCUCAUUUCUCUCACUCUCCCACACCAAAAUUGUUAAGGAUUUUGUAUUAGCAAGUUUCGUGAAGUGAGUCGGAGUCUUGAAGGAUCGAAGCGGAUUGACGAAGAUUGAAGAAUUUAAGAUUUCGAAGAUUUUGGAAAGUAGCUCACAAUAUGAAUCACGACGUAAAGGUAAAGUUUUAAUUCAUGUUAUGGUGAUUCAUACUUAGUUAUAGGCAUUAGAAUCAUAAACUUAAAGUUUAAUGGAUUAGAAAGUGCCUCGGAACUUUGCAGAACCCGAAACAGUGCAAAAUCCAAAAAAUUGCAUUGUGUACCGGUACAGCAAGUGCCCCGUACCGGUACAGCCAUCAACAUUGG
RNAcentral lists this long non-coding RNA (419 nucleotides) under Ananas comosus (pineapple). RNAcentral's name for it is "long non-coding RNA (ACOM_LNC009013)". The record is from RNAcentral. Lineage: Eukaryota; Viridiplantae; Streptophyta; Magnoliopsida; Poales; Bromeliaceae.